This 8029-nucleotide long non-coding RNA is filed under the name Gossypium barbadense (sea-island cotton). Its description in RNAcentral is "long non-coding RNA (GBAR_LNC003728)". Lineage: Eukaryota; Viridiplantae; Streptophyta; Magnoliopsida; Malvales; Malvaceae. The record is from RNAcentral.
CAUGGGAUAAUUGCAAUUUUGGUCCCUAAUUGUAUAGGGACAUUGCAAGUUGAUCCUUGAACCUCAACUAUAAAUAGGCCUAACCAUUUCUUACUUUCUUCAUCCCAUAAUUGCCAUUCUCUACUUAAGGCAUUAUUCUCUUCCCUAUUUGUAAAUUUCACUUGUAAUUUUUGGAGUGAAAUAUAUUUGGUAGUGCCCGAGGACGUAGGCAAAAUUUGCUGAACCUCGUUAAAAUUCUGGUGUUCUUUAUUAUUUAUUUUGCAUAUUUUGUGAAUGUGAUUGUAGUGAUUUAUUGUGCUAUUAAAUUAUGAUAGAGGGAUAUUCUGGCUAGGAAAGACUUGGUAUUUAAGUGAUCUUCGUGAUCUACCUCUCUUUCCUGGGAAUUGAACUUAGUGUGAUUUUUCAGUACAAUAUUUUUUCUCUUUCACACGCUUCCGCGCAACAAUUGGUACCAGAGCCAGAUUCGUACUUGGGGAAUACGACCGUUUACGGUACUAUUUACGUAUACGGCACUAUUCAUGUAUAUGGUACUAUUCACGCAUAUGGCACUAUUCAUGUAUACUGUACUAUUCACGUAUACAGUAGUUAGGAUUGAGGAGAAAAAUGGCAGCAGCAUCGUCAUCAGCAAGGACUACUGUGACAAAUGCAAAAUUUGAAGUAGAGAAAUUUGACGGUACCAAUAAUUUUGGUAUGUGGCAAUGUGAGAUCCUGGAUGUCUUAUGUCAGCAAAAUCUAGAUAUAGCCCUUGAAGAAAAACCUGACAAGAUGGAUGACAAGGAGUGGGCCAAGAUCAAUAGACAGGCGUGUGGUACAAUCCACCUAUGUUUGGCCAAAGAGCAGAAGUACUCUGUCAUGAGGGAGACAUCAGCGAAGAAGUUAUGGGAUACACUGGAAGAAAAGUUUCUAACGAAAAGUCUUGAAAAUAGGCUUUAUAUGAAAAAGAAACUUUAUCGAUUCACGUACGCACCCGGUAUGUUGAUGAAUGACCAUGUAAACUCAUUCAAUAAAAUUUUAGCAGACUUGCUAAAUUUGGAUGAGAAAUUUGAAGAUGAAGACAAGGCAUUAUUGUUGUUGAAUUCCCUUCCUGAUGAAUAUGAUCAUCUUACCACCAUAUUGCUUCAUGGGAAGGACACGAUCACAUUUGAUGCAGUCUGUAGUGCGUUGUAUAGAUCUGAGACUCAAAAAAAAGAUAAAAGAGAUCACAGAGAUACAACUGCAGAAGUCUUAACAGUAAGAGGUCGUUCACACAGCAGCAAAUCUGGUAGAAGAGGAAAGUCCAUGUAACACCCCCUAACCCCAAACCGUCGUCGGAACAGGGCUACGAGGCAUUACCGGAUAUGUCAGACAACUUAUGGAUAUUUUACAAUUAUUAUAAUAUUCAUAGUAUAAUUGAAGAAUUAUGUCCCUAUAAUGGACUUUCGAAGCCCAACACAAGUAUUAAAGUGGAAUGAAACGGGACUUGUUCGAGUAUUCAGGGAAAUAUAUAUUUUUUUUUUACAAAAAUUUCGACAGCAUUUCUUCUUAAUUUUUACAUAAAACCCCCUGCAAAUUCAAACCAAAAACCACCUAAUCCAAAACCAAUGGCACAAUCAAAAACAAUUUAAACCUAAAUAUAUCUAAAUCAUAACGAAUUCAUUAACAUAGUCAUUUAAUAACUAAACAUUCAUAAUAUUAAUCCAAAUUAACUAAUAACUUCAUUCAUUUUUUUUUCCUUCCAACUUAUACCAAAUUAUAUAAUAUAAUAUUUACCAUUUUAUCAAACUAAUAACAAAAUAUGGUAUACCAUUCUUAUAACUAACUUUACAAGUAUAUCUAUAUAACUUAUACAACACCUAGUACAUGCCACUUUCAAUUAAGAAAGAAAACAUCACCCAAAAUCUUUUCGCUGAAGUCGGGAUCACUCGGAUGCUAGACCAGUACACUAGACUUCUAUUAACCUGCGCACGGAAACAACCGUACGCUGAGUAUUUCAUACUCAGUGGUAUUACCAUAAUUCAAAUUGCAAUAGCAAUUAAAAAAAAUAAAAUAAGAACUCAGCAUCAAAUAACAAUUCUUUUUUUUUAAGUUAUCAUUAAAUAACAAUAAAUAAACAAUCUUUAGCUAUUAUUCAAUUUUAGUUACAAAUCACAUUUACCAGGUUUUAAUCACCACAAUCAUUUUAAAUCCAUGCAUUUCAUUUCCAAUCUAAAUUUUCAGUCCACAAUUUUAAUUUCUUUCAUAUUCACUAGUACAGUCGAUCAAAUUCAUUUGAACUUCUCAUUUCAAUUAUUCACCCUAUUAACAUUUCGGACUUUAACGGAUACACGGAUUCCAACCUAAACACACCAGUACGGCACAUUGUGCCUAAAAUGGUACAUAGUACCUGAUCAGUAUACGACACAUAAAGUGCCUAAAACGACACACGAGGUGCCUGAUACGACACACGAGGUGCUUGAUACGACACACGAGGUGCCUGAUACAACACAUAAAGUGCCUGAUCAAUAAAGCCGGAAAAUCCCGUACACUUCCAUAUCCUAUGGCAUGCCAAUUAUAUCCGACUUAGCCCGACUAGUUAAUAGGGUAUUUCAAUUCUCAAUUCACUUUCAUUUCCAUUCCAAGAUUACUUUUCAAUUAAAAUUUUCACAUUCAAAUCAAUUUACAAUUCAAUUAUACAUACACAUUCACCAUUCAAUUCAAUUCUCAUUCAACUCAAAUAUCAAUACUUACCUUAUAAUUCACUUAUUAAAUAUAGAAUUGAUAUAAAACAUUUAAUAAAAAGUAAUUUGAAUUAUAGUAAUACAAACUGUGAAUUUCUCGUUUUAAUCCUCGAUAGCUUUCUCCUUUCCUUUGUGCGCCGAUGUCUUGGGUUCUUUGUUAACUACGAAAAUAAUAAUAAUUUAUAAUCAUCAAUAUAACACAAUUCAAUUUAAUCCAUGAGCCUAAACAUGCAAAUUUAACCAUUUUUAAUGUAUAUAUAUAAUUUCACCAUUAAGCUGUCUACUUGAGUCAUUGUUACUAAAUUAUUUAUAUCUUGAGCUAGGAAACUCCAAAUUAAGAUCCACUAAUUUUCCCUGAAACUAGACUCAUAUAUCUUCUCACCAUAAGAUUUUCAGAAUUUUUGGUCUAGCCAAUUAGUACAGUUUAUUCAUUAAAUACUCCCCUGUUAUUUCAUUUGACAGUUCUGACCUCUCUCUACUAAAAAUAAAUUAUCUCAUUGUACAGAACUCGAAUAAGGUUCUUGUUUACUUAUUUUUAAACUAGAUUCAUUAAGGAGUUCACAAAUAUAAAUUACACUCCAUAAUAAUUUUUGUACAAUUUAUAAUGAUUUUCCAAAGUUAAAACAGGGCAUCUCGAAAUCACCCCGAACCAGUCUUACAAAAUUUCAAAUAUCUCUUGAUUCAUCAAUUCAUUGCUUACACUAUUUAUACUAUAAGAAACUAGACUCAAUAAGUUUUAAUUACAUAUUUUUUUCAUCCUCUAGUUCAAUUUAUACAAUUUUUAGUGAAUUUUCAAAGUCAGACCAUUGCUACUUCCCAAAACUGUUUUGAUGUAAAAUUGUUAAUAACCAAAUUUAUAACACCAAUUCACACCUUAUGUCUACUCAAAUUUCAUUUAAACUCAAAUUUAACUAUUAAAUUUUCAACAUAUUUUCUUAAUUCCGAAAUUUUCCUCAAUUUAGUCCCUAAAACACAAAACUUAUAGCUUACUUUGCAAUUCAAUCCUUAUAUCUAUUUUAACUUGAAUUUCAUUCAAUUAAACCCCUAUUUCAUUUUUUUUAUUCAACAUGAACAAUAUUUAGAAUUCUAAUAACUUUCAAAAUAUUAAUUUAAUUUCAUCAAAACUUUGUUCUAAAGCUUUUAAAACAUUAAAAUUAAGUAAAAAGGGCUAAAUUAACUUACCUAUUAAACUUUCAAACCUCCAAACCCUAAUUCUCCCUUUUUCUUUUCUUUCUUCUUUCUUUCUUUCCUUCCCCUGCUUUUCGUUUGCCUAUUCUGUUUCUUUUCUUUGUUCUUUACUUUAUUUUCUUUCUUUUAUUUGUUUUAGUUGCUAAUAAUAUAUUAUAAUAAUUUAUUUAUUAUUUAUUUUUUUACCAUCCACUUGUCAAAAUUAUACUAUAUAACUAAGUAAAAAUCUUAGAUUUUUUUACUCCUUUGCCGCCUCAUCUUCCCAAAUAGGCUUAAUUCCCUAUUUGGUCCUUAUUAUUUCCUACUAAUUUAUAAUUAAACUUUUACUCCUUAUUCAAUUUAGUCAUUUUUACUAAUUACUCUAAAUUAAGCUAAAUUCACCUAAUUUAAACCUAAUCAAACAUAUCGCUAAACUCAUAAAUAUUUCUAGUAAUUAUUUCGAACUCGAUUUACUAAGACGAAGGCCUGUUAAUGUACUUUUCUGAUGCCCGUGAAUUUUGGAUCAUUACAGUCCAAAGGGAGACCCGCCAAAGAUGAAUGUGCCUUUUGUCGUGAAAAAGGCAUUGGAAAAAGAAUUGUCCUAAGCUAUAAAAGGGCAAGGCUAUUUCUAAUGCAUGUGUAGCGGAGCAUGAUGAUGAGUCAGACUUUAGCUUGGUUGGCAUGGCAAUGGUAUGUCAAACGGAUGAGUGGAUUUUGGAUUCAGGAUGUACUUACCAUAUGUGUCCUAAUAAGGACUGGUUUUCUAGUAUUAAAGAGCUAGAAGGUGGAAUUGUUCUUAUGGGCAAUGAUAGUGCUUGUAAGACAAUGGGAGUAGGUACAGUCCAAUUGAAGAAUCACGACGGCUCAAUCCAAGUCUUGACAGAUGUUCGCUACGUACCUAGCCUGAAGAAAAAUUUCAUCUCAUUAGGGGCCCUAGAAUCUAAAGGGCUCGCAAUCACUUUGAGAGAUGGAUUACUAAAAGUAAUAGCUGGGCAAUUGACGGUGAUGAAAGGCACAAGAAGAAAUAACUUGUAUUUUUUAAAUGGAAGUACAGUUAUUGGAUCAACAUCAACAGUUUCUACAAAAGAUGUAGAUUCGGAGGCUACCAGAUUAUGGCAUAUGCGAUUGGGACAUGCUGGUGAAAAAGCUUUGCAGACAUUGGCGAAGCAAGGCUUGUUGAAAGGUGCAAAUUCUUGCAAAAUAGAAUUCUGUGAACAUUGUGUUCUAGGCAAGCAGAAGAGGGUAAAAUUUGGUCCAGCAAUUCACAAUACGAAAGGAAUUCUGGACUAUGUUCACAGUGAUGUGUGGGAACCUACCAAAGUGGCUUCUUUGGGAGGUAUGCACUAUUUUGUUACUUUUGUUGAUGAUUAUUCAAGAAAAGUAUGGGUGUAUCUAAUGAAAAGAAAAAGUAAAGUUUUGGUUGCAUUUCUGAAAUGGAAAAAGAUGGUGGAGACUCAGACUGGUCGAAAGGUCAAACGACUUCGAUCAGAUAAUGGCACUGAGUACAAAAAUGAUCCAUUUCUACAAGUAUGUCAAGAUGAGGGCAUUGUGCGACACUUCACUGUUCGGGAUACACCACAGCAGAAUGGGGUGGCAGAACGCAUGAAUCGAAUUAUACUGGAGAAAGUUCGAUGUAUGUUGUCCAAUGCUGGAUUGGGCAAGGAAUUUUGGGCUGAGGCAGUUAUAUAUGCGUGCCAUCUAAUUAACCAUUUGCCAUCAGCUGCAAUAAAUGGAAAAACUCCUAUGGAGAUGUGGACUGGUAAAUCUGCUACUGAUUAUGAUUCUUUACAUGUAUUUGGUUCCACUGCAUAUUAUCAUGUAAAAGAAUCUAAGUUAGACCCAAGAGCAAAGAAAGCAUUAUUCUUGGGUAUAACUGAUGGAGUAAAAGGAUAUCGUCUCUGGUGUUCUGAUACAAUGAAGAUUGUUUUCAGUAGAGAUGUGACUUUUGAUGAAUCAACCAUGUUAAAGUACAAGGAUUCACAAAAGGAUGACAAAACCAGUAGUACUUUACAGCAGGUGGAGCUUGAAAAGGUUAACGAUGAUCCAACUAAUAUUGGAGGGACAAAUGAUGAAGAGGUUUCUACCCAAGAACCUCUACAGCAACAAGAUUCAAUUGCAUAUAAAAGGCCAAGAAGAGAGAUUCGUAAGCCUGCUCGCUUUGAUGAUAUAGUGGCCUAUGCACUUCCAAUUGCAGAUGAUGAUGUUCCUUCUACUUACACAGAAGCAAUAAGUAACCCUGAUGGUGUAAAGUGGAAGCAAGCAAUGAAUGAAGAAAUGCAGUCUCUUCAUAAAAAUAAGACUUGGGAGUUGGUGACACUACCCAAGGGAAAGAAGGCAAUUGGAUGCAAAUGGGUAUAUGCAAAGAAGGAAGGAUUUCCUGAUAAAAAUGAAAUUCGAUACAAGGCUAGAUUGGUAGCAAAGGGUUACGCUCAGAAAGAAGGAAUAGACUACAAUGAAGUGUUUUCUCCAGUUGUGAAGCAUUCGUCUAUUCGGAUUUUGCUAGCUUUGGUUGCGCAAUAUGAUCUUGAACUAGUUCAGCUUGAUGUGAAGACCGCGUUUUUACACGGUGAUUUGGAAGAGGAAAUCUAUAUGACUCAGCCAGAUGGAUUCAAGGUUGCUGGAAAAGAAAAUCGGGUUUGCAAACUGACAAAGUCGCUUUAUGGAUUGAAGCAAUCUCCGAGGCAGUGGUACAACCGAUUUGAUCUGUUCAUGAAAGGGCAAAGGUACACAAGAAGCAAAUUUGAUCAUUGUGUGUAUUUUCAGAAGCUACAAGAUGGAACUUUCAUAUACUUGCUCUUAUAUGUUGAUGAUAUGCUAAUAGCAUCUAAGAGCAGAGUUGAGAUUGAAAGAUUGAAGACUCAACUCAAUCUCGAGUUUGAGAUGAAAGAUCUAGGAGAAGCUAAAAAGAUUCUCGGCAUGGAAAUAUGGAGAGAUAGAGCUCAUGAUAGAGUUAGCUUGUCUCAGAAGCAGUAUUUGAAGAAGGUACUACAACAGUUUGGCAUGAACGAGCAGACAAAACCUGUAAGUACCCCGUUGGCUUCUCAUUUCAAGCUUUCUGCACAACUAUCUCCUUCGACGAAUACGGGACGAGAAUACAUGUUGCAAGUUCCAUAUUCUAAUGCAGUGGGUAGCUUGAUGUAUGCAAUGGUGUGUACAAGACCCAACAUUUCACAGGCAGUUAGUAUAGUGAGCAGGUAUAUGCAUAAUCCUGAAAAAGGACAUUGGCAAGCUGUGAAAUGGAUUCUACGGUAUAUUCAGAAGACCGUAGAUGUUGGAUUACUGUUCAAGCAGGAUAAUACACUUGGUAAAUGUGUUAUUGGGUACGUUGAUUCUGACUAUGCCGGUGAUUUGGACAAGCGAAGAUCAACCACCGGUUAUGUGUUUACACUUGCUGGAGGACCAAUAAGUUGGAAGUCUACAUUACAGUCUACUGUUGCGUUGUCAACCACAGAAGCCGAGUACAUGGCUGUAACAGAGGCUGUAAAUGAGGCUAUUUGGUUACAAGGUAUGGCUAAAACCUUGGAAUUGGUUCAGGAGCAUAUUAACGUGUAUUGUGAUAGUCAAAGUGCUAUUCAUUUAGCAAAGAAUCAAGUCUAUCAUGCACGUACAAAGCAUAUCGACGUACGAUUCCAUUUUGUGGGGGAAAUUAUUGAAGAGGGGAAAAUUUGUCUUCAGAAGAUCAAGACCGCAGAUAAUCCCGCAGAUAUGAUGACCAAGGUGGUAACAGCAACCAAGUUCGAACAUUGUUGGAACUUGAUUAAUAUCCUGCAAGUUUAACAGUUGAAGAAUGCACUAUCAAGUAUUGUUGUCAAAGGCAGAAAGAAUUGUGUGAAGAUAAGAUUAUCCUAAUCAAAUCUUCAAGGUGGAGAUUAUUGGAACCCACCCAUUGUUUGAAAAGUCAAAAAGGGUGGGCACCGAAAGUAGAAAGUAAAAGUUGGCAUGGGAUAAUUGCAAUUUUGGUCCCUAAUUGUAUAGGGACAUUGCAAGUUGAUCCUUGAACCUCAACUAUAAAUAGGCCUAACCAUUUCUUACUUUCUUCAUCCCAUAAUUGCCAUUCUCUACUUAAGGCAUUAUUCUCUCUCCCUAUUUGUAAAUUUCACUUGUAAUUUUUGGAGUGAAAUAUAUUUGGUAGUGCCCGAGGACGUAGGCAAAAUUUGCUGAACCUC